Molecule: ribosomal RNA, 106 nt
Filed under: Mycoplasma sp. OR1901
Lineage: Bacteria; Bacillati; Mycoplasmatota; Mollicutes; Mycoplasmatales; Mycoplasmataceae
Source: RNAcentral
AUUAGUAGCAAGAGCAAGAGGGCCCACCUGAAUCCAUUCUGAACUCAGUAGUUAAGCCUCUUUACGCCGACGAUAGCCAAAUGGUGAAAAUAGGGAGCUGCUUUUU